This 419-nucleotide ribosomal RNA is filed under the name uncultured bacterium. Its description in RNAcentral is "bacterial SSU rRNA". It matches the Rfam family "Bacterial small subunit ribosomal RNA", at positions 340 to 752 of the family's 1533-position model. The record is from RNAcentral.
UACGGAAGGCAGCAGUGGGGAAUAUUGCACAAUGGGCGCAAGCCUGAUGCAGCCAUGCCGCGUGUAUGAAGAAGGCCUUCGGGUUGUAAAGUACUUUCAGCGGGGAGGAAGGCGAUGCGGUUAAUAACCGCGUCGAUUGACGUUACCCGCAGAAGAAGCACCGGCUAACUCCGUGCCAGCAGCCGCGGUAAUACGGAGGGUGCAAGCGUUAAUCGGAAUUACUGGGCGUAAAGCGCACGCAGGCGGUCUGUUAAGUCAGAUGUGAAAUCCCCGGGCUUAACCUGGGAACUGCAUUUUGAAACUGGCAGGCUUGAGUCUUGUAGAGGGGGUAGAAUUCCAGGUGUAGCGGUGAAAUGCGUAGAGAUCUGGAGGAAUACCGGUGGCGAAGGCGGCCCCUGGGACAAAGCUGACGCUCAGGU